RNAcentral lists this ribosomal RNA (245 nucleotides) under uncultured bacterium. RNAcentral's name for it is "partial small subunit ribosomal RNA". It matches the Rfam family "Bacterial small subunit ribosomal RNA", at positions 26 to 285 of the family's 1533-position model. The record is from RNAcentral.
AGAAUCAACGCUGGCGGCGUGCCUAACACAUGCAAGUCGAACGAGAAAGGGGAGCAAUCCCUGAGUACAGUGGCGCACGGGUGAGUAACACGUGAAUGAUCUACCUCCGAGUGGGGAAUAACUGAGAGAAAUCUUGGCUAAUACCGCAUAAUACCCACGGGUCAAAGCAGCAAUGCGCUUGGAGAGGAGUUCGCGGCCGAUUAGCUAGUUGGCGGGGUAAUGGCCCACCAAGGCGAUGAUCGGUA